Molecule: long non-coding RNA, 922 nt
Organism: Schistocerca serialis cubense
Lineage: Eukaryota; Metazoa; Arthropoda; Insecta; Orthoptera; Acrididae
Exons: 3
Source: RefSeq, a predicted model, not a curated record
UGCCCGAGAGAUAAGUCCGACAGUCUUUUUGUUGUGCCUUUCUGUGACUCAGCAUCUUCACUAUUUGGUGAGCAGCAACAACUAUCCUUUUCAUAAUAUUAUUACAUUCCAUCCUGGAUUUUUCAUUGUUCAUCAGAGAAAAGAUUUUUCUGAGGAAUUAAACUAGAUGGUAGUGUAGAACUUGUGAACUUUUAAAAAUAUGAAGUAAAAGAUUUUAACUUUAAAUUAGGUUAAUUCAAAUAUGGGACAAUGUUGAGAGUUGAAAAGUUGGAAAAAAUAAAUAAGAUAUAUAUUGAGAUGUCGUAUGACUGAUGGAGGAAAGAUUUUGCAUUUCUUUUUCCAAGUAAGAAUGCACUUGCUCUCACUUGCUUCAAUACAUGUCUAGCGAUUCACGUGAAACAGAGAAAAAGAUAAAGACUGCCAUGUUAAUGAACAAGUGAGAUUGCCCAGUAUCACUCUGACAGAAGAGUAUAGUGUUUCCUUGAUAUGGUACCUGGUCAGCAAUGUCAUUGGGACCAAAUGAAAGUUUCUGCAGAUACCACACAGAAGCAAUUACUGUUACUGGAAUACCAGUAAUGUUUAUUAAAUUCAGUUAUAAAGUAGUUAUGGGCAUUGCAGCUAGUGAGCAAUGUCAUCGGGCACCAAAAGAAGUUCAGUUAUGAUGGAUUUCUGGCCUUCAGUCCAUGGGAAAAUUCACACCAGAUUGCAUCAAGACUGUUAUAUUCCAAGGAUAUCUUGGAAGAUUGAUAGUAUUCCUGAAGGAAAACAAUCCAUAUAGUGUUUCACGUGUGUAUCAAACUGCCAUUUGUUGUGGCACAUAAAUGUUUGCAACUUGAUUGUAAUUUUUGAACAGUUUCUCAACAAUCCAAGAAUUUCUUGUAAUGAGAAGUAGACAUUGUUGCUUGGUUAAAGGAAAUACAAA